RNAcentral lists this unclassified non-coding RNA (2602 nucleotides) under Amphibalanus amphitrite. Its description in RNAcentral is "vacuolar protein sorting-associated protein 37A-like, transcript variant X8". Lineage: Eukaryota; Metazoa; Arthropoda; Thecostraca; Balanomorpha; Balanidae. The record is from RNAcentral.
ACUCCAGCCAACCAGUAGCAGUACUCAACAUUGAUUGAACAUGUUCAAAAGCAUCUUUGGAAGAGAUUCACCUGAUGUAUCAAGAGCCAAACAGAUCAAGACCCUAAGGAUUUACAACAAAGAAGUGUCGGAGGUGACGCACAACCAGGAGUACCGUGUGUCGUUCUCGGUGGACGGCGUCGGCUACAGCAUCUCCGUGUACCUGCCGCCCGGCUACCCGGACGAGCGGCCGCUGCUGCAGGUCAGCCCGCCCGUGCAGCACCCCUGGGUGGACGCCGGACAACAGGUGGUCGCCGCGCCCGGCAUCGUCAACUACACGAAGCACUGUGACCUCGGUCAACUAGUGCAGAACAUCGUCCAUGAGCUGGAGCGGAGUCUGAGCGGCGCCGGAGCCUCGGCAGCGCCGGCUGGCUUCUCACCGGGACUGUACCCGGCGGCAGGACCCAGCGUACCGCAGGCAGAGCUAGACUUCCCGGAGCUGUCGAAGCUGAGUCAGGAGGAGCUGGAGGCGCUGCUGGGGGACGAAGACCGGCUGGAGGAGCUGGUGGAGGGCCUGCCGCAGGUGAAGCCGCUGCUGGACGACCUGCAGGCCACCAUGGACCGCGUGGAGAAACUGGUCGGAGAUACGUUAUCCGCGGCGCCACGACUCGCCGAGCGGCAGCAGGCGGUGGAGUCCAGCCGGGAGGCGGUGCGCGCAGAGCUGACCCGGUUCGAGGCCGGGGAGCGGCGCCGGGAGCAGCUGGCCGAGCGGUACGCGCCCGCCCACCUCGAGAGGCUGCUGGAGAUCGCCGCUGCCGAGGCGGAGGAGUGCUCCGACCGGCUGGCGGAGCGGCUCUCGGCCGGAGAGAUCGACGUCGACAGCUUCGUCAAACAGUUCAUGCACCAGAGGACGCUCUGCCAUACCCGGAGAGCCAAGCAGGAGCGUCUGCACGCACAGCUGCGCGAGCUCGACCUGUCCUGGGCCUCCUGAUUGGUCAGUCCCGGUCAGUCCCGUGUGAACGGCCAUCCUGAUUGGUCCAUUUCACACGUCCAACCCUAACGGCCCCCAUUGGUCACUCCCAUGAUCAGGGUGUACGGGAGGGCCAAUCAACCUUCCGAACAUUUUAACACCUUACCUUCUAAAUAUGUAGUACUAACAUCGUAGCCUUUAGGGCCAACGCGCCCAAUCCACAAGCAUUUCCAGAUAGUAGUCUGAUAGCUAGGCGUGCUACCUACGCCAGCGGAAGUCCUACUCAGUAAGAUCUUGCCAGCAAGCGCUCUCUGUCUCCGCUAGUGGCGAGCCGAGCGGUGGCUGUGAUCGGGUACUGAGCCUGAACUCUACUCAGGACGGACUUAGGUCUCAGAAGACGAACCGGCAAGUGACGGGCAGUCAUUCCGAAUCUCCCGGGCGGCGGACACUGGUAACUUAUGACGUCAGACUUAAGCCGCCCGUUUUUGUAGUGUUGAAUACGUGGGCUGAUGCUUCUUAGGAAGACAAGUGAUUACACGAGGCAUUGAAGAGAAAUAUUCAGAUUUAUGUGAUCUUUGAAUGAUGUGUUCCCAAAAUAAGAUGAUUUUAGUAUACGGAAUGAGAAGCAAAUGGUAUUGAGCUGAUUCCAUUGAACACUUCUCCAUGCGUUUUGUGUUUGAUGUGGCGUUUGUAUUAAUGUAUGAUGAUUGAGAGAGAAAGUGCCUUUGGGCUCCGACUCUUCGAGCUGACUGUGGCCCGUGAUUGUCCUGUGAUGGGACUUCCUCCGUAGGUUACCGGGAUCCAGAGUGCCCAAUGCGUGGCUUCCAGCUCCGUCGAUACUCACUAGCUGUAGUUGUCGGAUGGGGAGGAGCUUUGAAUACGCAGCGGCACAGCUGGGGCUGAGGGGGCGACUGCCACCUGUGUUCUCCACUUUGUGAAAAAAUGUCGACUGUGGACUGUGUCUGGAUACUUUGUGAAAUAAGUGUUGACUGUCGAGUAUGUCUGGUAUUUCGUCUGUGAGACUGUUUGUUGUAAAAAUGUGUGGUUUGAGCUGUGCUGUUCACGGUAUGUAUAUGUUCCACAUUGAGUUUAUGUCGCUGUGAGCUAAAGCAAAUACGUGCGAUAACUACGAUGUCUCCGUUUUUAAGUUAAACAUUCUGUUUAAGGGGAUCUUAGGCAGCCCUUUUCGUUUCGCAAGCUCUUUGACCGUCUAUUUGUCAGUUAAACUUUGUAUGAGCGGAGACAAUAGCUCACAUGCUGAAUAUCAUGGCGGUUCCAGCGCAUAGCAAUAGUUGGAAGGGCGGAACAUUUUUAGGUGAAUGCUGAAUAUCGAUUGUGGACCUGGUGUGCCACUAACGGACUCGACCAUGGAAACUGCCCUCGUUUAUCGAAUUCCAGUUUUAUGUGGGGAUUGCCGCUGUAAGUUGGCUGCCAUCGGGGUCACAGCAGGUUAGGCUGCUGCUCAGUCGUCUUGACAGAUGAGUGGUGAAUCGCAUAAGCUUGUUUCAGUUCCUCUGAGCAUAAGGUGUGAAGUGUUUGGAGAACGUAUCAUGUGCGGUCUUUCACGCCGCGGGGCUCUGGUGCUCAGAGUCAGUCGUCAAUUCGUCGGGGCUGUAUCCACGCUGGAGCCUUCAAUACACAUGUAUAAGCUCA